This 468-nucleotide ribosomal RNA is filed under the name uncultured bacterium. RNAcentral describes it as "partial 16S ribosomal RNA". It matches the Rfam family "Bacterial small subunit ribosomal RNA", at positions 28 to 507 of the family's 1533-position model. The record is from RNAcentral.
GACGAACGCUGGCGGCGUGCUUAACACAUGCAAGUCGAACGGAAAGGCCCUGCUUUUGUGGGGUGCUCGAGUGGCGAACGGGUGAGUAACACGAGAGUAACCUGCCCUUGACUUUGGGAUAACUUCAGGAAACUGGGGAUAAUACCGGAUCGGAGCUCCUGCUGCAUGGUGGGGGUUGGAAAGUUUCGGCGGGUGGGAAUGGGCGCGCGGGUUAUCAGCUUGUUGGUGGGGUAGUGGCUUACCAAGGGUUGGAUGGGUAGCCGGCCUGAGAGGGUGACCGGCGACACAGGGACUGAGAGACGGCCCAGACUCUUAUGGGAGGGAGCGGUGGGGAAAAUAUUGCAAAGGGGGGAAGACUGUGGUAGAGAGGCGGCGUGCGGGAGAUCGACCUUUGGGUGUUAAACCGCUUUGGCGCAGGACGAUGCGUGAGUGACGGUACUGUGUAAGGAAGCACCGGCUAACUACGUG